Molecule: long non-coding RNA, 791 nt
Filed under: Rattus norvegicus (Norway rat)
Lineage: Eukaryota; Metazoa; Chordata; Mammalia; Rodentia; Muridae
Description: long non-coding RNA NONRATT012159
Source: RNAcentral
CCAAAGAAAACACUGUUUAAUAACUGUUAAAGUUUAUAUAGCAAAAAAUAGUUUAAAUUUAAGAUUAAGUCAAGCAAAAUGUACAAAGACCCAAUAUACAGCAUGAAGUGUGGCAAACGUAACACUUACACAUUUUGGUUCCAUUCUGUAAACUAAAUUAAGGACGUAAAUAUUGCAUAUGCCUGCUCUUCUUGAAAUGUACAGGAUGGGGGAGGGGGAGUUUAGUGUAUUCUCCAUUUCUCUUUUUUGCUCAUGUCAGCUGCAUCAGGGACACGUGGCAUCUGUGUCCUGUGGUGACCGUUCCCAGCAUGGAGGGUGUGUCACAUCUGCCUCAGUGUGCUGCAGUCAGCAGAUCGGCCCUACUGUCCCUGGGGGAUUCAGUUACACAGCAAACACAGUGCAGGUUCCUCGUCAACACUGUGUAAGGUUUCAGGAGACCCUUUAACAUCUCUAAGUAUAGCACACACCCGAACAGACUUCCGCCCUAGUGCUGUGUGGCCUGUGGACCGCUAGGAUGUGUAGCUGCAGGAAGGGAAACCUUGAGAGUUCUCGCAGGGUGGGGGUCAAUUUACAUUCAACUGUGUCUUACAAUACAACCUUCUUCUACAAGCUCAGCAAUGGAAGCAGGAAGACAGCUGCAUUGCCAUUAAAUAUAUUUUUUUAAGACAUGGAAUUUUUUUGGUCGUCCUCUAAAAGCCCCUUCUUACCUUACCAAUGCAUUACUCUAUAGUGAUAUAUAUCUAUAUAUUUAUAUAUAUAUAUAUAUAUUCUCCCAAAUAAAAACAAAACAA